GGGGUCGUAGCUCAGUGGUGGAGUGCUUGUCUCACAUGUAUGAGGCACUGGGUUUGAUUCUCAGCACCACA
RNAcentral lists this transfer RNA (71 nucleotides) under Marmota monax (woodchuck). RNAcentral describes it as "tRNA.Val". The record is from RNAcentral. Lineage: Eukaryota; Metazoa; Chordata; Mammalia; Rodentia; Sciuridae.